CGCACUGGCCCAACUGAUUGAUGGUGCUUGCACCUGAUUGACGAUGGAUCACCAGUGAGUGGCGGACGGGUGAGUAACACGUAGGUAACCUGCCCCGGAGCGGGGGAUAACAUUUGGAAACAGAUGCUAAUACCGCAUAACAACAAAAGCCACAUGGCUUUUGUUUGAAAGAUGGCUUUGGCUAUCACUCUGGGAUGGACCUGCGGUGCAUUAGCUAGUUGGUAAGGUAACGGCUUACCAAGGCGAUGAUGCAUAGCCGAGUUGAGAGACUGAUCGGCCACAAUGGAACUGAGACACGGUCCAUACUCCUACGGGAGGCAGCAGUAGGGAAUCUUCCACAAUGGGCGCAAGCCUGAUGGAGCAACACCGCGUGAGUGAAGAAGGGUUUCGGCUCGUAAAGCUCUGUUGUUGGAGAAGAACGUGCGUGAGAGUAACUGUUCACGCAGUGACGGUAUCCAACCAGAAAGUCACGGCUAACUACGUG
Molecule: ribosomal RNA, 484 nt
Filed under: uncultured bacterium
Lineage: Bacteria
Description: bacterial SSU rRNA
Rfam family: Bacterial small subunit ribosomal RNA
Source: RNAcentral